AUCGCUUCUCGGCUCUAUGAGCUAAGAUCAAGCGCAGUAUCUGUUCUUAUCAGUUUAAUAUCUGAUAUGUUUUCUACAGGAGAUAUUUUUUUUGUACUAGAUCAACACUCCUGUUUCUUACUCCCAGUGCAUGACGGGGUGAAUUCCC
Molecule: small nuclear RNA, 148 nt
Filed under: Chelonoidis abingdonii (Abingdon island giant tortoise)
Lineage: Eukaryota; Metazoa; Chordata; Testudines; Testudinidae
Description: U2 spliceosomal RNA (ENSCABG00000017385.1)
Rfam family: U2 spliceosomal RNA (bases 1-110)
About the family: U2 is a small nuclear RNA (snRNA) component of the spliceosome (involved in pre-mRNA splicing). Complementary binding between U2 snRNA (in an area lying towards the 5' end but 3' to hairpin I) and the branchpoint sequence (BPS) of the intron results the bulging out of an unpaired adenosine, on the BPS, which initiates a nucleophilic attack at the intronic 5' splice site, thus starting the first of two transesterification reactions that mediate splicing.
Source: RNAcentral